Long non-coding RNA from Grammomys surdaster, 1000 nucleotides. RefSeq lists it as uncharacterized. The transcript has 6 exons. NCBI's taxonomy places the organism in Eukaryota, Metazoa, Chordata, Mammalia, Rodentia, Muridae. The record is from RefSeq and is a predicted model, not a curated record.
UUUCCCGUCGCGUGGAUGUGCUUCCUCUCUGGUCAAUGCCAUCCGCCCAAAUCUACAGACAUCCUGCAUAUUCCCGGGCUGUCUGCUGGUCUCCCCAAUACAGGGCGCCAAGUAUCCUACCAAGGCGAAUCCGUUGACCAGGGUCUAAGCUGAGGACGCUCCCAGGAUCCCGGGUGCAGCGUCCGGGUCCCCCUGCCCUGCCUUGCACUGCAGCCUCUUCCCUUGUCCUGCUAGGCUGUAGACUGCACAGCCCUCCUGGAGACCGAUGGAAGCUCCUUGGGUCGACAGCUUCUGCAGCAGCCGGAGCCCCCUACUCCCUUCAAGUCCGUGUUGAGCGUUCACGGUCCAGGGAGAGGAUGCCUGGACAUAAUAGCUUGGCUCUACAGUGGCCACGAGCGGUGUCUCCGUCCUGCUGGACUGAUGGACCACGGUGCUCCUGAGUGAGGGUUGUGCCCUGGGAUCUGGGGUGCAGUUUUUUCAGUUAGAGUUGGAAGUGUGUAAGGUGAGACGGUACACUCCAGAGCGCCGUGUCCUGAUGUGCCUUUGAGCACCCAGCACCGUGGGUCAUCAGACCUGUCUCCCAAGAGCUCUGGUCCCUUCUCUAGAGAAGAAGUGGAUCCACUGGCCGGGUGCUCAGGAGGCCAUAGCAGGAUUGUCAGUUGAUCUCUGCCACGUGUGCGCACCAGUUCUUGGCUUUCCAGAAGAAGUUGGAACAGGGCCCUUGAAGAUGAUUGUGGACACCAGAGGGCCAGGGAGCGGACAAGAAGACCAUGCUCAAAGUGAAACUGGAGACACCACCCCCUCAGCAUCAUGAAACAGCUUUUUACUUUAGUCAUUGGCUCAGACAUACCAAGUUUUGACACCAACACCUCAGAUGGCCAUGUUCUGUCCCUGUGACCAUCUGCCAGUGCCUGGAAUGACUAGAACUUGUUGCCAACUUCCUGUUACCUCCCUAACAGCUGUGCAAUAAACCUCAGGUUAAUUCAGUCUGCCUUUAAAA